AUGCCAAACCACAGUGGGAGUUUAGAGAAGACUGUGAUGAGAGUUGGAGCAUUCUUGGGGAGUCUUUGCUGCAGAGAUGGGACUUUAUGCAUCAGUACAUUCUUAAAGUGUCUACGCUGCCCCGGGAUGCUGAGCCCCUGGACACCACAGGUGGCAUUUCAGCUAUGAGUGAGGGGGGGCAUUUGGAAGGGGAGCCCCGAAGGGGAAGACAAUGGCUCAGAGAGAAUGAAGUCAGCACUUCCCAGCCUCUGUGUGCUGCGGUCCAAGGCUUCGGCCGGGAGCACUGCAGAGCAAAAGUUCUGAGAGCCACGGCUCAGGCUUAACUGGCCAGAGCGAGCUUGGCAGCUGCUCUCGUCCCAGCAGGCUUUGCUCUCUGAGGCAGUCAUUCCCACCACACAAAGGCAGUUCUGUGCCUCCCAAAGGUGCUUGGGGCAGGAAUGAAGAGCGGAACAGCCCCCAUCAAUCCAAUAGGAUUGUCGUUUUACGCUGGCGUGGAGCCUCAGACAUCAAAAGGGCUGGAGAGUGAAGCCACGUGUGAGCCGUGAAGUUGGUGACCCUGAGGCACAGAAAGCUGAGGGAAUUUGUUCGAAGUCACACAGCUGAUCACCUUCACAUACCACCUCCUCCAGGAAGCAUGACCUGAUUGACCCUCAGUUGUGUGUGAACUUUCUUCCUUUCAACCCCCAUGGUGGUCCCAGUCAGAGACUGAUUUCCCUGAGGUUGCCAGAAAGCAAGAUACUAGCAGCAAGAAGAUCCCAACCCUGGGUGCCCUCCCUCCAACCCACAUCUCGCCAGUUGCUGCUAUUGGAGCGUCAGGAAUCCUGGCUGAAUAGUUUCUCUGUCUCACAUGGCAUUCAUGGAAGCAUUCACUGGUGUUCACUGGACCAUGCAGAUCUGGACAGCAUGUGGUGGCUGCAUUUUUGUGUCUGUUUCCUUGUUGAGCAUGGCUGGAAAGUGAGAUCAGCUAGAACCAUUGACCAAAGUGCUUAUGCAUGGGUUUUUCAGCAUGGUGACCUCAAGGUGGUCAGAGCUUUUAAAUGGGAGCUCGGAGCUCCCAGAGUGAAAAUUCCAAGAGACGCAGGAGGCAAUGGGAAGAUCCUGAUGCUAACUUCGGCUCUCCUGUUAGCCCACUGUGUGUACAUGAGGGAACCUCUUUAAAUCUCCACACCUCAGAACUUCUGCAGUGAUGGAUGUGUUCCACGGUUGUCAAAGUGUGGUCCCCAAACCAGCAGCAUCAACUUCACCUGAAAAUGUGUUAGAAUAGUCAAUUAUCAGGCCCCACCUCACAACCAUUGAAUCAAACAUCUUGGGUGGGACCCAGCAAUUUGUAUUUAACCAAGCCCAUAAGGUGAUUCUGAUGUGUGUAAGGGUUAAAGAAGCCCUGGGGUUGGUUCCUUUCAGCCGACUUUCUGUGAUUCUAACUACAGAAGCACCCUUUCAUGCCACAUGACCAGAACUAAUAGCCAAUUAAUUGAAAAAAUUAAUUAAAAUUAAGAAAUGCUACUUACAUUUGUGAAACUUUUAAUUUUAACGAAAGGAAGUCAAUCUUUCGAUGUAGGGUCAAGGCCUUUCUUUGAGUGUGAGUCUGCUGGUUGGAUUUCUAUGACAGCUUUUUUGCAUAACCCAUAUCUUUAAUGCAUGAUCUAAGAUUUUUAGGUUUUUACAAGCAGAGUAAGAACUAAAGACUUUACAAAGGAAUCUGAACAGUUCAUCUGAGUGACUCAUCUUUCUUGACUAUUUCUGAAUAUCUGACUUGGUUUACAUAACAAUGCAUUUGUAAUAUUUAAUUACAUUAAAUCAUUGCAAUGACAAUAAUUACUGGAAUAAACAAGUUUGGGAACAAAGUCAACUGAUGGAAACAGAAGGCUUGGGACACUGGGUGGUUUUCUACUCAUCACAAGCAUCACUUGGCCAUGGAUGUCAACUGUUUUAAGGACAGCAGGGAGAAUACUGGUAUAUGUGGAGAGUUGGUUGAGUGGACAUUGAGUAAGAGAGCUUCUCCUGCACUGCUGGUUCUUCCUAACCAGAAUUCUUGUCUUCUUCCCUCUUUUUUAUUGCAUCCUUGACACAUGUUUAAUUCAAGCCCUUUUCACCUAACCCUGAACUAUUACAAAAGCACACUAUGUGGUCUCAUCGUCUCCACACUUACCUCCUGGUGUCUGCAUAAAUUCAUGCUUACAAAAGCCAUGCCAUUCCCAUUCUCAGCAGGGUAGAAUGAAAAGAACACUGGAUUUAGAAGCUAAGGACCUGAUUGGGUCUUAAUCUACUAUUUCUAGUUGUGUGCCAUUGGAUAACUCAGUCAACUUCUCCAAGCUCUUUCCCUCAAGCAAAGAUAGAGCAACUAGUGCUACACACACUUCAGAGGGGAUCUUGAAGAUCAAGAGGACUUAAAUAGGUGAAAAUGUUUUGAAACCUGAAUAGAACUCUACAAUUCUAAGUUGUUUCUUUCCUUACUGUGUGAUAACGCUCAGUCUUUUCAGCCUAGCACCCAACAAUCUAGUUCUAGCUUAUCUUCUCAGCUUCUUUCUCAAAGAUCCUAGAAGUGUACUUCUCACCCUAGCAAGACUGUUCUACUCAAGCUCCCAUGCACAGACCUAAGUUUUCUUUUCCUUUUUUAUUAUAAUUUAAGUUUUAGGGUACAUGUGCACAACGUGCAGGUUAGUUACAUAUGUAUACAUGUGCCAUGUUGGUGUGCUGCACCCAUUAACUCGUCAUUUAACAUUAGGUAUAUCUCCUAUUGCUAUCCCUCCCCUCUCCCCCCACCCCACAACAGGCACCAGUGUGUGAUGUUCCCCUUCCUGUGUCCAUGUGUUCUCAUUGUUCAAUUCCCACCUAUGAAUGAGAACAUGCGGUGUUUGGUUUUUUGUCCUUGCGAUAGUUUGCUGAGAAUAAUGGUUUCCAGCUUCAUCCAUGUCCCUAAAAAGGACAUGAACUCAUCAUUUUUUAUGGCUGCAUAGUAUUCCAGGAUUGUAAAUCAUGCUGCUAUAAAGACACAUGCACACGUAUAUUUAUUGUGGCACUAUUCACAAUAGCAAAGACUUGGAACCAAGCCAAAUGUCCAACAAUGAUAGACUGGAUUAAGAAAAUGUGGCACAUAUGCACAGACCUAAGUUUUCUAUGUCUAUGCCUUUGGCCACUGUCCCCUAAAAUGUCUUUUUCCUUUUCUAUAACUGGGUUGGUCUACCUCCAUUUGCGUGGACGUUUCCAUGAGACACAGACUCACAAAGAUUGGGCAGAAUACAAGUAAGUCAAAGCAAGCUACCUCCUGGCCUCUGAAGACCAAGUGGAGAAGAAAACAGGUUUCUAACCAAAGAAGAAAGUUCUGAGUUAUAAUUUCUCAGCACUCUAGGCAAGGUGCAGCACACCUUGACAGUUAGAGAAGAGUAUUUCAUCUUGAAAACCUGCAGCUCACCAGUGAAGUAACAUCCUUUCUUGUUUCAUUGGACGAGACGGCACACUUGUCAGUGGAACUUAGAAGAUGCAGCAGUAACAACAUAAACUAGGUAUAUGCCGAACCCUAUCAGGUCAUCUAUUCUGUAGUCAUCUGGUGGUUGGGAUUAUUCUUAGUGAGACAAGCUAGGCAUCAAAAGGCUGAACAGCUCAAAUACCAAGUAAGACUCAAAUCCUUUUCCUAUGUAUAUAUUAAAAGCUGGUCACACUCUUAGACUUUAAACAUGGCACUGAAAUCUAGGAUUCCAUUCGGGUGCAAGCAACAGAAAACCUAAGAGAGGCCUUCGUAAAUAAGGGGUCAAUUUAUGCAGUGCGACAUGAGCUUUGGAAAUAGGUGGUCCUCACGUGCAGCUGCUCAAAUAGGCCACUGAAGGCUCAGACCCCUUCUCUCUCUUCCUGCUUCAUCAUCUUUCAUAUCUUUAGCUUUUAUUUUCCAUUGCAGGGUGGCUGCUGUGCCUUCAGGCAUCGGAUCACGUUCCAGGUGGUAAGAAGGGAGAGGGCAAAUUGGCAGAGCAGAUGACACUGAGCCUGUUCCUUUCCUUGAAGCGGGCUAUGUUUACCCAUAGUUCAUAUCUGGCAUCUUUUAUAAUUGGUGGUUAUUUAUUUAUUUUUAAUAUUACCCUUGCUUAAAAGCCCCACCUGCUAACUUCUGCUUUAUCUCAUCAUCUAGUUCUGGGUUACAUAGACACCCUUGCCUGGGAUAGAGUUGGAAAUUGAGUGUUUUUACUUGGGUGCACUGCCACCCUCAAACAGGUUUGAGAUUCUGUCAAAGAGAAGACAACAACAGAUACUGAGCAGGCAAUUAAUCGUCUGCCAUAAUGCUUAAUUCAAACUUGUGUAUUAUUCUAAAUUGCACCACUUGGCUUUAUAUUUAAAG
Molecule: long non-coding RNA, 4327 nt
Filed under: Homo sapiens (human)
Lineage: Eukaryota; Metazoa; Chordata; Mammalia; Primates; Hominidae
Description: HSALNT0133822
Source: RNAcentral